Corticium candelabrum is the source of this 2571-nucleotide long non-coding RNA. RefSeq lists it as uncharacterized. The transcript is spliced from 3 exons. NCBI's taxonomy places the organism in Eukaryota, Metazoa, Porifera, Homoscleromorpha, Homosclerophorida, Plakinidae. The record is from RefSeq and is a predicted model, not a curated record.
UCUUUCGCUUCCACUCCUGGCUGUGGCGCUUCCACAGGAUAUCCCUCUACUACUUCACAGUGCUCCACGGUACCGAUGGUGCUACCUGAAGCCGCUUUGACAAACUGUGCUGGCCCAGCACUGAUCAUUACUCGUGCACAACCGAAGUUGUCAGGCGUCAUAACAGAUUUCUUCGUAGUUAGCCCCGUUGACUUCAGCCAUUGCUGAUCAGCCUGGAACUUCAUUGGUUGGCUUUCCUGGUAAUCUCGUACCUCCACUUGAAAAGAUCGCCCCAUGGCCAGGUAGGAUGCGGUAAGACCCAAUCAUUUGAACACUUGCCAAAGCUGAAUCGAUUGUCGACCCUUUCGUGGAAGGGAAAACCCCUCCAUCAGGGGCAAAGGACACCAACCUCAAUCUCAAGACUGCAUCUAGUCCCAGUAAGUAAGCAAGCAAGACCAAAACAAUGCGCCGCGCAACACAGCAAGCGUUUAGUCCGAAGCCCAAGGCCUUAAACGUACGUUGACGUUACUGCGCGUGCGUCAAUCGGUGAAGUGUUCCUUUAAUGCUCGGCCCCCUUGAACUGGGUUCUCUCACUAAAUAUUCUGGUAUAGAAAAUGAAGUCGUUAGAUUGAUUGUUAAACUGUACGACGGUACAGGUUGUGUUGUACGAAAUGGGGGAAUUUCGUCACGGUUUGAAGUAACCGCAGGUGCCCGUUAAGGGUGUGUGUUGUCUCCAAUCUUGUUUAAUUAGUUUAUGAACAGAAUAAUGAGUGAGACUUUAGACACGGUUAAGGGUGGUGUCAUUGAGAUUGCUUGCAGAACGUAUUGUGGCCUAUUUAUGAACUAUCGAGUAAAACCUAAAGAGACAGAUAAGAUCAAAGCUCCCCUGUAUGUUGAUGAUUUGGCUCUAAUAGGUACGUCAAAUAUAGUGAGUUGCAACAGAUGGUGAAUGCUUUCCAUGACGCUUGUAUGAAAUGGGGUACGAGGAUCGAUUAACACUGAAAGAUCUAAAAUCUUGAGCAUUGGUGUUGAAGAAGCAAACAUCUUGAUAGCUGGUCGUGUUCUGGAAAGUGUUUUUGUUUUUUGCUAUCUGGGUAGCAUUGUGACUAAGUUUGGAAAUAGUCACACAGAGGUUUUUGGACGUAUUCAGAAAGCUAACAGGACAUUUUGUUCUUGCAAACUUACAGUUUUUUGCAAACCGGGGAUUUAGCAGAACACAAAACUGCGAGUUUCUAAAUCACUAGUGAUGUCGGUUUUGUAGAUGCGGUUGUGAAACUUGGGCAAUCACUCAAGUAGAUAUUCGAAGACUGACCACUUUUCACAUGCGCUCUAUUAGAUCUAUCUUGGGUGUAACAAGACUAGCUGAACAAGAUAAGAAAUACCCAACUUCAAAUCUGCCAAGGAAGAACCAAUGAACGUCAACUUCAGCAUCAAAUAUUACAGUGGCUUGGUCACUUAAAACUGAUGACCAUCUUUUGUCCACAAACGUUGUUGCUGAGAAGCGAGUUACGUAAUAUGAAACGUCCUCAGCAUGGUCCAAAGAACAGGUGGGUUGAUACCAUACAACGAGACCUGGUAUCAUUGAAUAUUGGCCUGUCACAAGCAAAUGACCACUUCUGCGAUGGAGAGUCCAUAGUGGGUAUUGGCGGAAUUCCAGGUUCCAGACUUAAAACCCAGUGAGUUCAAGAUGCAUGCAUUGGAGAAGGAGAAUAGCUGUCUGUUUUCAAAGGGCAAACUCGUCAGUCAUUCAAAACAAGGUGUCUGCCGUCGUUGAAAAGUGUGUCAAAAGCAGUGAUGCUGCUUUGCCAUUUCAGCAAGAUACUUUGCUAGUGACUUUACUAUGUACUCGACUGCUUCUAUGACAUGUCCAGAUCUCUUGGAUUUCAUUGCCGGAAAGAGUUGACGGCGCAAUUCGAGAAUAAGCAACUUCCGGAUAUUGCCUUAUACAACUAUAGAGAUGGAAAAAGCUCCUUUUAGACGUACCCAUUACUCACCCCUUGGCAAAACGGUCAAUCAGUUCCAGUUGUAGUAAACCUGGUUUCGCUGCAGCUAAGAAGGAUAGGGAGAAAGAUCGCAAAUACCUUGUAAAGUCAACAAAUCUUGGGUACUUGUUUUGUCCCAUUGCCUUGGAGGUAUACGGUCGCUGGGGAAACAAAGCAAAGGAGACACUAGAAGAACUAUCAAAGUCGUGUCUUCUGUGUUCAGACCUAGAACCCAACGAGUUCAAGAUACAUUGGAGAAGGAGAGAAGGAGAAUAGCUGUCUGUCUUCAAAGGGCCAACUCGUCAAUCAUCCAAAACAAGGUGUCUGCCAUCGUUGAAAAGUGUGUCAAAAACAGUAAUGCUGCUUAUACUAUUUCAGCAAGAUACUUUGCUAGUGACUUUACGUAAGUAGUUGUAUGGUUUUCGUGUGGUUUUAGGGUGGAGUUAUGUAGUAGAGUUGCCUGUUUUACAUGUUUCCUUGUAUGUUAUUCUAGUAUUAUUCUAUCCUUACUGUGCUUACUAAAUUAGCUACUAACAUUUGUGAUUACCUUUUCUGAGUUGAUAUAAAAGUGAGUGAGUGAGUGAGUGAGUGAGUGAUUUAGUGAUCAAAA